This 223-nucleotide ribosomal RNA is filed under the name uncultured bacterium. RNAcentral's name for it is "partial 16S ribosomal RNA". It matches the Rfam family "Bacterial small subunit ribosomal RNA", at positions 15 to 228 of the family's 1533-position model. The record is from RNAcentral.
GAUCAUGGCUCAGGACGAACGCUGGCGGCGUGCCUAAUACAUGCAAGUAGAACGCUGAAGAGAGGAGCUUGCUCUUCUUGGAUGAGUUGCGAACGGGUGAGUAACGCGUAGGUAACCUGCCUGGUAGCGGGGGAUAACUAUUGGAAACGAUAGCUAAUACCGCAUGAAAUGGAUUAUCGCAUGAUAAUCGAUUGAAAGGUGCAAAUGCAUCACUACCAGAUGG